Acanthosepion pharaonis is the source of this 97-nucleotide non-coding RNA. Lineage: Eukaryota; Metazoa; Mollusca; Cephalopoda; Sepiida; Sepiidae. The record is from the annotation of a GenBank genome assembly.
GACGUUGAACCACCGGUUCUCGUACGAUCACCGAAGUUAAGCAACGUUGAACCCGUACAAUAUCGAGAUGGCUGACCGCUUGCGAAUACCAGGUGCU